This 462-nucleotide ribosomal RNA is filed under the name uncultured bacterium. RNAcentral's name for it is "partial 16S ribosomal RNA". It matches the Rfam family "Bacterial small subunit ribosomal RNA", at positions 338 to 795 of the family's 1533-position model. The record is from RNAcentral.
CCUACGGGAGGCAGCAGUGAGGAAUAUUGGUCAAUGGACGCAAGUCUGAACCAGCCAAGUAGCGUGCAGGAUGACGGCCCUCCGGGUUGUAAACUGCUUUUAGUUGGGAAUAAAGGGGGGCUCGUGAGCCCCGUAUUGUAUGUACCAUCAGAAAAAGGACCGGCUAAUUCCGUGCCAGCAGCCGCGGUAAUACGUAGGGGGCGAGCGUUAUCCGGAUUCACUGGGUGUAAAGGGAGCGUAGACGGCCAUGCAAGCCAGGGGUGAAAGCCCGGGGCCCAACCCCGGGACUGCCCUUGGAACGGCAUGGCUGGAGUGCGGGAGGGGCAGGCGGAAUGCCUGGUGUAGCGGUGAAAUGCGUAGAUAUCAGGAGGAACACCGGCGGCGAAGGCGGCCUGCUGGACCGCGACUGACGUUGAGGCUCGAAAGCGUGGGGAGCGAACAGGAUUAGAUACCCGAGUAGUC